RNAcentral lists this unclassified non-coding RNA (513 nucleotides) under Hevea brasiliensis (rubber tree). The record is from RNAcentral. Lineage: Eukaryota; Viridiplantae; Streptophyta; Magnoliopsida; Malpighiales; Euphorbiaceae.
GGUGCACAGAAAUAUCCAUGCAUUCCUUUAUAACACUACAAACCUAUUACGAUUAUAAUAUUGUUUAUAACCAAAAUUUUGUGAUUGUUGUAAUUUAGUUAGUUUAGGUCUUAUUUCCUUGUAUUUAAAGUACUUCAUAGUAAUUUUAGGAUUCCUAUUUUGAUAAGCUUGUCCAAGUAAAGCUAGGACUUAAAUUCUUAAAAAUACUAAAUAGGCAUAUUAUAUAUUUUUUACGGAAGAUGGUCAAAGUUAAUAAAACCAGAAUUUUCAAAACCAGAUCAGACUGGUUGGUUGGACCAGAAUACCUAGGAACUGGACCACUAUCCGGUCUAGUUAAUAAACCUUUCAGUUAAAGAAUCAAAAUUAACCCGCUAAGCAGGCCAGUUACCCAUUGAAGCAGUUGAUCCAGUCAUGGUUUAAUGGGUUAAAUGGUUUUCAGGAGUAUGAUUUGGUUGUAGCACUUUUAGGCUACUGCCACAUAACCCUCAUUAAAAAAAGAAACCAAUAUCUUCA